This 515-nucleotide long non-coding RNA is filed under the name Coturnix japonica (Japanese quail). Its description in RNAcentral is "lncRNA (ENSCJPG00005012396.1)". Lineage: Eukaryota; Metazoa; Chordata; Aves; Galliformes; Phasianidae. The record is from RNAcentral.
AUAUUUCUGCUGAUAAAAAUACCGCAUGUGCUUCACAUGAUUUUUAUAUUUAAAAGCUUUGUGUUUUUCUUUCUAGGGAACAGGAUUCUCUGGUUAAGACCUGAAAACACAGAGUGUGUUCCCAAGUUACAUGCAAGUUUUGCUGCAUACCUUCAUUAUGAUCAGCACUGGCACUUGAGUGAUGCGCUGCUGAGAAACCGAUUUGCUCUUCCAAGAUGUCAGUGACACGAUCUGUACGCUCAGCAGUUCUUUGAGGAGAUUUUUGCAGAGAGGAGGACCUUGAGGAGGAGAGGGGGGCUGGAAAUACUGAGCCCAGAACCAUGGAAAGCGUUGCUUUUAAUCUCUAGCUGUAACCAUGUCUGUAGCAAAGUGUUAACUCCGCUGCACAUGAACACACUUCAUCUGUGCAAAGAUAUUGCGCGGCGUAUUAAAAUGUAUGUCAUGCUGGAGAACAAAGAGCACGUGACAUUAUGGACUGAAUUCAUAGUUACAAUAAAAGAAGCAAUGAAAAUUCA